GUUCACUGUGUCACAUUUAAUUUUGCCUCUUCCAUACCUCACUGCUUCAUUUUCCUCGUAAGCUUUUCAUUUAUAAAUUAUAAUGUUUAGUGACCAUUAGGACAGUUGCUUCCGUGGAUAAAGGUCACGAUGUGUCGAGCGCUCCUCUUCUUCAUCAUCUGCCUGAUCAGCUGUCUGCUGGCAUCGGGGCACUCCAUCAACACCAUACAUUGCCCUCCGGACAUGACAUACGACCCAAUCUUGAAAUACUGCGCGUCGUUCAUAGACACGCCACAGUUACUAGAUUAAGUUCUUGGAAAGAAGGACUUUUCCCGCCACGUUUCUCCAAAAAAUAUACAGAUGGCGUUGUAUACGUUUAACCAUUGUUUGGUGUAAUAUAAUCUAAUGACAGAGGCAUUUAAAAAUAAUAGUUGCUUGACAUUUGGAACAGAUUAUGUAUAGAAAUAUGUUGCUACCUAUGUUGCUUCUCUUUAUUUUGAUCAGAAUAAUAAUGGGUGGAAGAUGUGUUGUGCUGGGGUGUAAUAACAAGGGUCAUCAUUUAUACCCAAAAACAAAGAUAAUAGAUGCAUAUAUCUGUUAUCUAUGAAGUUUCAUUUGACCAGGCUGUAUGGCUAUGUUCCUUUGCCUGCUCCUUCUUGGGGCAAAGAAGAAUGGGCGAAUCUGGUCCAAAAACCUCCACUGACGAGACUUAUAUGUAACGAAAGCAAGUUGACUAUAAUUCGCUUUGACUAUAAUUUUUUCGUUUUUUUUUUAUGUUUCGGAUCCUGGAAAAAAUCCUCUUUAAAAUGAUAUACAUUAUGAGACAUAAUUACUUAUGUAGACUUAGUUAUUCAGCAAUAAAUCUUGAGUCGAUUUUAGUCCCCCUUUGCAUUUUAUCACAUUUUUAGCCAGGACAAACAUGGCCGUAAAAAAAGAACCCCGGGACAGAAUCUGAUACAACUUUGCCAGAAUCAUAGGGAAAGCAUAAGCUUUCAUUACAUAUAUUAUAAGUCUCAUCAGUGGAGGUUCUUGGACCAAGUUUCAUACAAAUGUGCCCAUUGUCAUUUAACAAAAAAAAAAUAUGAUGUUAAACGAAGAUACCUAACGUUGUACAGCGACGUCAAUAUUUUUUUUUGAGGAGCGUAAACUGAAAAGUCUGUCAUUAAAUGGAGAAUAUUACUCAAGUGUAUAAACUUAUUCAGUAAAUAAAACCUAGAGGUUGUUU
Pectinophora gossypiella (pink bollworm) is the source of this 1204-nucleotide long non-coding RNA. RefSeq lists it as uncharacterized. The transcript is spliced from 2 exons. Lineage: Eukaryota; Metazoa; Arthropoda; Insecta; Lepidoptera; Gelechiidae. The record is from RefSeq and is a predicted model, not a curated record.